This 3300-nucleotide long non-coding RNA is filed under the name Nicotiana tabacum (common tobacco). Its description in RNAcentral is "long non-coding RNA (NTAB_LNC000444)". Lineage: Eukaryota; Viridiplantae; Streptophyta; Magnoliopsida; Solanales; Solanaceae. The record is from RNAcentral.
CCUCGGCUCGUGUGCUCCGUACUUUGGCACAAGUAGUUUCAGGAAGUCAACGCCUUAGUCAGGACCCUCGGCCUGGACGAUGACCCCUUCUCAGAAUAAAGUAUACUCCCAAAAAUCUUUUCUUUCUAAAACUUCUUGUGACUUUUCUAAUCUAAAUCAUUUCUUUAUAGAACAUCAUGUACAUGAUCAUGCUGGUAUCCUCAAAUGUAAAGCAUGGCAUAAGAAUGAAAUAAACAUGUAAAAGUAUUUCUAAAGAGUCUUGCUUCUUCAUAAAUUUUAAACAUGAAAAUAGCAUAUAAGAAUAACACAAAAAACUGAAAAUUUAUGUACAUAUAUCAUAAUAAAUCAUCUAAACUUUUGCUAGAACAAUUCUAAGCUAAUAGAUACUCACUCGUUCCAAUUAAGUAAAUAUAAACUCUUUUAAACAAGUCAUCAAACACCUCGUAUGAGUGCUUUUGUGAGUUAAACCACUUUAGUAAAGAGUUAUAUCAACUCACCUCAAAACUUCUCGAGCCAACACGUAGGCCCCAGUCCAAUUGACACUAGUCAAACAAUCGUGAGACGACCCGGCCGGUCGUCUUAAGAAUUUACGCCCUGAUCCCCUAUUAACUGCUUUUUCCGAGUUUAUUUCUACUAUUUUUAUUGGCCAGGAUAUUCGGUUUUGAGUUUCGGAGAGUUUUGGAACACUUAGUCCCUAAAUAAGAGCUUAAGUGUUGGAAAGUUGACCAUAGUUGGAAUAGUGUGAAAACAGCCUCGGAAUGGAAAUCUGAUGGUUCCGCAAGCUUCAUUGGGUGAUUUCGGGCUUAUGGGCAUGUUCGGAUUAUGUUUUGGAGGUCCGUAGCAAAUUUAGGCUUGAAAUGCUGAAAGGUCGAAUUUUGAAGUUUCCGGUUCGAUAGUGAGAUUUUGAUCCGAGGGUCGGAAUAAAAUUCCGGAAGUUGGAGUAGCUCCGUAGUGUUGAAUGUGUCGUGUGUGCAAAAUUUUAGGUACGAGGGUUGAUAGACUUUUUGAUCGAAAGCAUAUUUUUAGAGUUUUUGGGAUUCUUAGGCUUGAAUCCGAUAAAAAAUAGGUGUUUUGAUGUUGUUUUGAGCAUUCCGAAGGUUGGAACAAAUUUGAAUGAAAUUAUGGGAUAUGUUAGUAGGUUUGGUUGAGGUCCCGGGGGCCUCAGGAUGAUUUCGAAUGGUUGGCGGAAGGAUUUUUGGAGUUUGGGAGUUGUAGCUUCAGCUGGUUUCUGUCAUAACUGCACCUGCGGUUUGGGUUCCGCAGGUGCGGAACCGCUGUCAUACCUCCUUUUUUACUACACCCCGUAAAGGAUAUAAAUACAAUGGGGGUUUUCUAAUUAAAGGACAAUCGAAAUGGGAUCAUUUAUUUAUUAAAAAUCAGAGUCGCCACUUGGGAUAAUUUAGGGUGUCCCAAGUCAUCGGUUUAGGAUCCCGAAUCGAGGAAAGUUGACUCUAUUCACGGUCCGCGAACACAGAAAUCCGGGUAAGUAAUUCUGUUAACCCGGGAGAAUGUGUUAGGCACUCCCGAGUUCUGUGGUUCUAGCACGGUCGCUUUGACCAUACUUGGCUUAUUAAAAUUGUUUAAUUACUCAUUUUUAGAACCUAUGAGCAUUUACCUUUUACCGCUUUUAAAUUAAGAAAAUUAUCUUGAAACGGGUCAUGUGUACGUGUACCCAUUUGUUUGGUGCGUCAAAAAUCAUGUCACACGAACGUGUCCACAAUCGAUAACGCUUUAUUAUUAUUAAGAAGGUUUAGUCAAAGUUGCGCGAACGCAUACCCCGAUUUUAUUUUUAAGAAAUUGUAAUCAUGUCACACGAACGUGUCCACGAGGGGGUCACAACAAGCAGAGAACAGACAAGCCACAUCCAUCCUAUUCAUAAAGUAGGAUCCAGGAAUGUACUAAUAGCUAUGACAAGUUGAUCACAGUGAUAAAAUGUUUUAGAACAUUGUCUUGAAUUUCCCAAAGAUAUUGAGCAGUAAAGCUAUUUUUCGAACAUCUUUUGAGCUAGCUAGAUUUUGUACACAGAACAAGCUUUACUCAACAAUUUUCACCUCCGGCACUUCUACCCUGAACCUCUUGCCACUUUGCAACUAAGCUACACCCUCACAAUCAAGAGGUCACAAGGAAAUAUUUAAAAAAAGAAGUGUCGUUUGAAAUCUCAUGAGACUUGCUUUUGGGAGAGCAAUAGGUAAUAACUCAACAGAAUCACCUUAUUGAUACAACAACAAAUCCUACGAAUUUUAGCCCAUGUAAAAAGAUUGCUCAACCACCGAUCCUAUAGACAUUUUAACUUAUCCAUUUAACCUUCUAUAAUCAACUCGCUUAUCUACUUCCUCUAUCAAAAAAAAUUAUCUUAGUCUCCCCUCAGUUAUCAAAUAAUCCAUGUCUUUUGUGAAAUUAUCUUAAGUUUUUUUGUAUAUUGCAAUGAAACAGAUAAACCUUGUGCUUCAACCAAAAAUAUUAAAGGGCCAUUACCCCCGAAAUACUCGCGGUUAAUUUUUACCUAUAAUUUAGCAAUAUGCAUGCUUCACUUGAAAAAUUUCCCCCACAAAAUGUAAAAGUGACACAGAAUUCCAAAUCAGAUAAUUACAAGUCGAACUACCAUCAAACAAGUUAAAAAGUUGAAAGAACAAUCAAAUAUACCAGACCUACUUAUCGUAAAAUGUACAGUGACAGAGAAAACAUUCCACCAGAAUCAUAUCACCAAGAAAGCACACAUGAAAGUGACGAGAAUAAGACAAUAGAGAAAGAAUUGGACCUGAAGAACAAUCUUCCCUUAAUAACAGAAAUAAAGAAAUCGGGUACAGGGAGAGCUUCAAAUCCAAAAGUUUACUCGAGAAUUCAGCAGCUAAAUCAAACAGAAGCUUCGAACGAAACCCCGCAUGGACACUCGAAAUCGGCAAAUUCAAACUCUGACUCAACCAAGCUCCAUUUCCUAGUUCUUGUUCCUAUUGUUAACCAAAAAUCCUCAAAUUUUUCCCCCAAUUUUUUGUUUUUUCAGCUUCUGUUUCCUCUUGGGGGUGAUUGGAUGGCGACAAUUUUCCGGCGAUUUUGGAAGGUGAAGAAGCUUGGCUUUUCUUUGAAGAAGAAGGGGUUCGUCUGGUUUCAGGGGUGGUCGACGGGUUUGGGGUCUGAUUUUGGUUAAGCAGCAGCCAUGGAAAUUGGCUCUUCUUCCCUGAAGAAGAAGGUCAGUCCGUAGGGGGGUCGUUUGCAAGAGGGUUCCGCCGCUGAUCCUUUCUAUGUUAGCCCCUCUUUUUAUUCAAUAUGGAGAGUGGGGCUCUCUCUGUUUAUUGCUGCGCA